RNAcentral lists this ribosomal RNA (406 nucleotides) under uncultured bacterium. RNAcentral describes it as "partial 16S ribosomal RNA". It matches the Rfam family "Bacterial small subunit ribosomal RNA", at positions 30 to 526 of the family's 1533-position model. The record is from RNAcentral.
AUUGAACGCUGGCGGCAGGCCUAACACAUGCAAGUCGAACGAGUGGCGGCCGUGUGAGUAAUGUCUGUGAAACUGCCCGCUGGAGGGGGAUACCUACUGGAAACGGUAGCUACUACCGCAUACCAUCGGAUGUGCCCAGAGGGGAUUAGCUAGUAGGUGGGGUAACGGCUCACCUAGGCGCCGAUCCCUAGCUGGUCUGAGAGGAUGAUCAGGCACACUGGAACUGGGACACGGUCCAGACUCCUAAGGUAGGCAGCAGUGGGGAAUAUUGGACAAUGGGCGAAAGCCUGAUGCAGCCAUGCCGCGUGUGUGAAGAAGGUCUUCGGAUUGUAAAGCACGUUAAGUUGGGAGGCGUUACCAACAGAAGAAGCACCGGCUAACUUCGUGCCAGCAGCCGCGGUAAUAC